Molecule: long non-coding RNA, 6357 nt
Filed under: Sus scrofa (pig)
Lineage: Eukaryota; Metazoa; Chordata; Mammalia; Artiodactyla; Suidae
Description: lncRNA (ENSSSCG00000059785.1)
Source: RNAcentral
AGGGACCCUAGCCGUGGAGUCUGUAGGCAUGACACAGGCUCGAAGGCCGGUGAUCAGGAGAAAUGCUAAACUGAGAAAAGAAUCGUCCAGCUGUCGUGCAUUACGUGUGUACUAAAUACCGGAUCUGAGCCCAGCCCUGAGAGGGUUAGUUACAGGGUGGUUAAAAGAACAGGGAGUCAGGUGAUCUGGCUUCAAGUCUCCAGGCUCGCUUUCCUCCCUGUGUUACCAUCAUUAAAUCUUCCCAAUUUUUAGUCCCCUGGCUUGUAAAAUGCAGGUUCCAAUCGUGCUUUCCUCAAGUGGCUGGGUAGGGGUUCAAUGAGAUAACGGGCGUGAAGUCCUUAGCCCAGUGCCAGUACCCAGAAAAUGCUCUGCAGUGUUAGCUGUCCUUACUGUUCACCUGCCUCUUCUCGUUUAACCCUCACCACAAUCCCAGGAGUUGGGUGCUACUGUCCUCUAUUUAUAAGUCAAACUGAGGCUCCGAGGGUAAAUCACUUGUCUAAGGUCCCAGAAAGGGAGCAGUGGGGCUGGCUCGGUCACACUAGAAAUCCCAACAUCUUUGUUUUCUUCACUUUCGGAGAAGCUGGUCAAAGGCACCAGGUUAAGUGCAUCUCAUGCCAUGACGGUCUUCUUCUUGUCCCUAUUACUGCACCUUCUCAUCUGUUGAAGAUUUGAGGUCUGGGGUCGUCUCUGACCCUGAAUGCAGCUGGUGAGAGCAUCGGUAUGGCUCCUCUGGGGACCUGCAGCUUCACAGAGUUGACACGGUUUAUGAAACGUCCAUUCUGAUUUGCAAAUAGGUCUGACACGGACACACGUCCAGCUGGCCGGUGAUUUUGAUAACAACCCCUCCUCCUUGGUGCCAAUUACCAGAAAUUAAAUGUCCCUGGCACACUUUGUGAUUCGGAAAUUCAUGUGCUGAUUAGUUAAACCCCUGCUGGACAUGCCAUCAUGACCAAGGGGCUCCCUGCCAACGUCCUAGCUCUCGCUCCAUCUCCAUCUAAAGUCACAGGAUGUUUUCUUCCCGGGCAGCAAGCAGUGUCACCUCACUGACUCAUUCAUUUUCAUUCAACAAAUACUGAUUGGGCAUCCACAGUUGGGAUACAGCAGAGAACAAAGCAAGUGUGUUCCUGCCUUCGCGAAGGGGAAUAAAUAGGAAAUGAUUAAACACACAGGACUGUUUCUACAUGACGUGUUAGGAAGGAAACAAAGAAGUGGGACAAAGGAACGGCUAGGGUACAAACGCGGCGUUGGGUAGGGUGGCCAGGAAGGUGAGAUUUCAACUGAGAUUUGAAGACUGAGACAGAAUCAGACAUGCAUUGUGCUGAGAUGGUUAGGAAUGAGCUCACCACGUCAAGGAAAUUCAUUCACUUUUCAAACAUUUUUGAUCAUACAAUCAAUAUGUGUUGAAAGAACAAGUGGGGAAUAGAUGAAUCCUCUUUUUUUUUUUUCUGCCAAGAAGGACCUUCACAGAAGAUGUAAUCAGCUUAGAGGCAAGUUCCUUCCCUUGGCGCCAGCCCCGUUUCCCACCUCUCAGGCCAGGGGCUGGGCUCAGGCACUAGCGUUCUGGGACUGGAGGACCUUCAGACCGCACCUUCCACAGAGACCAACCCUCACAGCUCUUUAGCCAUGACUCUGCAGCAAGCAGAAAGCAAUCACAUUUUCCUAAGCAGUCAAAAUGGUUGUUUGGAAUUGUGUAGACAAGGCGCGAAGUGUCAGCUGCUUUGUUGUCAUUAGGAUACAUGUAUUGAAUUUCCAUGCCCGCUUACUCAAUUCCAGAGUCCUUAUUAGUUGUGUGUCUCCCUCCCUCCCUCCCUCCCCUCCUCCCGCAGCUCUGUCACCCUCUUCUGCUCAUCUUUCUCUGGCUCAGCAGUGAAGAGCCUAGGCUACAGAAUCAGAACACCGGGUUGUAUCUCAAGUGGGACCCUCUGUGUGACUUUGGCCAUGUCCAUUCACCUCGCUGAGUCUCAAUUUUCUCAUCUAUAUAAUAGGAAUAAUAGUAAUAGAGGCCGUCUUUUGACAAUCAUAUAAAGUACUUACUGAGUUAUUAUUAUCCUCAUUUUGUGGAUUAGAAUGUACAAUUUAAAGAAGUAGAUUGAGGUUUUGAAGGCAAGAGAAAGGAGUAAUAGGUGUAACCUUGAGCCAGUUUAAUGAUCUGUGUCUACCUCUGGGGUUUCCAUUCGUUGAGAUAAUCAAGAAACAGGAUCAUAAUAAAUAGUCUCCUAAUUUGUAAUACUUUUGAGCCAACAGCGAUAGAGAGAACCUGUGCCGUGUGCCAGAUAUUCUUCUAUGUGCUUUACCUAUAUUGACUAACUUUUCAAAUCUCACAACCAUACAAAGUAAAUACUAUUCCUAUGCCCAUUUUACAGAUAAGGAAACUAAGACCUAGAGAGAUUACAUCGUGUCCACAGGGUCACAUAGCUGGGACUUGGUGGAGUUUGGGAAUAAACCCGGGCAAACUGACUCCCGGGUCUGCUGCUUGCCACCUCAUUUAAGAUGAGACACAAAAGCUUUCCUGCAAAUAUCAGAGUUUUCUACUUCAAAUAGACCUGCCUUCUGAGUGCUCAGUAAACAAAGAAUUAUUACCCGCCUAAUCCUGAAACCCCUGGCCUGUAGACACAGGACUGAUGCGGGCAGUACCCAGUACAGCAAAACACCAGCCAUAGGUAAAUUCACAUCUCCUGGCACUGAUGGGAUUUCCGGGUGUCUAUUAAAAUGUCAGUAGAUCUUAGAGGCCACGUCCUUUCUACAUCAUUUAGCACAAGCCAGAAGGUCAGAUUCAGGUGGCAGCCAGCCUUCCCUUGGCAAUUUCUUCCUCAUGACUACUCUGCCCCUACACCCACUCUCAGAAAUGCUACAGCACAAUAAACGUAGUUAAAGAGAUAACAAACCACCACUACCCUCUUGAGAUCCAAAAGCAGUCGUCUCAAAUCCCCUUGCCUCCAGUCUUAGAGGGAUAUGCCCCCAGCUGCUGACGCCAGGCCUGCUGUGUAGAUCAAAGCAGCCUUGUCUGGGCCCACUGUCAUAGCAACAGUGGAUCCAUCUCCAAAGGCUCAUGCCCAGCAUCAGCCCUGGCACGAGAAAGAGAAGCAGACUAUGCCUAACACAGGUGCCUUCCUUUUAAAGGGCUACAAGUUGUCAACAGCAGGCUGAAACUCCUGCCUGUGUUUGGGGUGUACAAUGGAAGCAGCAUGACUCCAAAUCCUGCCUGACUUAUUGUCUCGACAGGACGUAGAAUGCAUCCUAGUAUUCGCAGACUUCGGGUUCAUGCCUGCUUCUCCCGCUGAGCAGGAAGCUGCCACCUGGAGCCUCCGAAGGCUCUGCUUGCUGUUGCACUAAGUGGAGCACGUCAGCAAAGGAGUAAGCCCUGCUGAGCCCCGGCAGGCCCUGAGGUGUGGAGGAGCUCCCUUCCAAGCCCACAUGUGGCUGUCUGCUUGAAAGGUCAGGCUCCUUCGUUAUAUUCAGGCUCUGUAGCACGCACCAAACGUCUGCCUUUGGAGAGUGGGGGUUCGGUCAGACUCCCCACGGCAGUGCUUCCCGGAAACUUUGCCCUCAAGAUCCAACAGCCUCCAUAAAUGAGGCUGUGAAAGUCGUUAAAGUUUCCCCAAAGAGAAAACUGACCUGGGAAAUCAGCAUGAGUCCUCAGAUAGAAAAGACAUCAGGCUUCAAAUGAAAGAAAUUGGACAGAAGAUGGAAAAUUUCCUCUCCUCCUUACUUCCUGUCUUACUGUUUUACUGGGAACUAGCUUGUGGACAAACUCAGAGCCUGGUCUUUUAGAAGGCAAGUCUUUCUAAAUGUUCCUGGACCAAUUUCCCAUCAUCCUUUUAGUGUUCUCCUGUCCCCUUUCAGCAUGGCCAGCUGGAAUUCAUUUGUACUCACAAGGGCCAAGAGCCAAGCCCUGGCAGCAAAGUCAGAGAGAGUAGCCAGCUCCUGUGGUGCCCAUCCCAACCGCCUGCCCUCACCUGGACAAGAGGCAGCUGGAAAUGUUGGCUGCACUUCUUUCUGAGCAUCCUCAGCCUCGGGAGGAGAAAAGACGCCAGGGGCUGGGCAGGGAGGGAGGACUUUGGUUACAUGUGUGGGGAUGGUAGGGAUGCAGGUCACGUUUGGAAAUUAAAAUAUUUGAGGCCUUGGAGAAAUUCUGGGGGCUUGUGAAUUUUAACUUUAUUUUUUAAAUAAUUUCAAACUUCCGGGAGUUCCUGCCAUGGCUCAGUGGUUAAUGAAUCCGACUAGGAACCAUGAGGUUGCAGGUUCGAUCCCUGGCCUUGCUCAGUGGGUUAAGGAUCCAGUGUUGCCGUGAGCUGUGGUGUAGGUCGCAGACGUGGCUCGGAUCCCACAUUGCUGUGACUCCGGUGUGGGCCGGUGGCUACAGCUCUGAUUAGACCCCUUGCCUGGGAACCUCCAUGUGCCGCAGGAGCGGCCCUAGAAAAGGCAAAGAGACCAAAAAAAAAAAAAAUAGUAAUAAUAAUAAUUUCAAACUUCCAGAAAUGUUGAUAAAACUAGGUUCCUUAGAUAUUAAUAUUUUACUAUGUUCAUUUUGAUCCCUUUAUUUAUAUAUGUGUAUAUAAUGUUAAAAUUUAGUAUAAAAAAUAUAUAUAAUUUUUCUGAACCAUUUGAGACUAAGCUAAAAAUAAAAGGCAUGCUAUUAACUAGCCUAAAAAUGCUAUCCAAUGGCAUGCUAUUUUUUUCGAUUGUCCUAUUCCUUUCCUUUAUAGAGGAAAAAAGAUGUAAUGUCUUAUCUAGAUCCCAUCCAGGACCGUGUUCUGCAGCUGUCAUACCUCUUUAGUUUCCUUUAAUGCGAAACAGUUCCUCGAGAUUCACUAUCUUCAUGAUCCUGGCACUUCAAAGGAUAUACAGGCCAUUUACUUUAUAGAAUGUCUAUUAGGGUUUCUCUUUAAUUUCUUCACCACCAGAUUCAGAUUUUUCAUUUGGGGCAGUAAUGGAUGAAAUCGUUACCAAUAACCAAAUAGGAAUCCCUAAGCCCAUGCUCUAUAAAUGAAGAAAAAGGGCAAAGGAAAAUUUCUUCCUUAUAGUAGAAUGCCAACUAAAAAAUGUGGAUGGAAUUAUGGACCACCAUUGGGGAGUUCCCACUGUGGUGCAGUGGGUUAAGAAUCCACCUGCAGCGGCUCAGGCCACAGCUGAAGCUCAGAUUGAAUCCUUGGCCCAGGAACUUCCAUAUGCUGUGGGUGUGGCCAUAAAAUUAAAACAAAAACAACAGUGGGUGAGGAGUUCCCUGGUGGCCUAGUAGUUAAGGAUCCCAUGUUGUCACUGCUGUGCCUUGGGUCAUUGCUAUAGUGCAGGUUUGAUCCCUGGCCAGGAACUUCUGAAUGUCAUUGGCAUAGCCAAAAGCAAAACUAGAGAGUGAAAGCUUGAAGAGCUCAGAGCGUCUCCUCUAAAGAUACUUAUUGAUCACAAAGGGGGAAAUGGCAGUUUACAGUAGAGAAACCAGGUAGGCAAAAGACCAAAGUUGGCAUCAUGAGUAAUGAGGAAACAGUGUGUCCCACCCAAUAUGAUGGACUGAGAACACCACACCUCUUCUGUGAAAUAAAAGACAAAGUCCUGCCCAAAGGACUUAAGAUUGUCAAGAGCUAUCAUACUAAUGAGGCUGCAUUCACACACAACAGAUUCUGGAAUGCUUUUCACCUUCACAGACACCCCCACCACCACCCGGAAAUCUUCCCAGGAGGCACGGGCAACAACCAAACACUGAAGAGAACAAAUCAGAUGCUUGGGAUGAACACGCACAGUGCAGAGCUGUGUACUGGGUGAAACUCCUUGGACAUUGGUGAUGGUACAGGAAUACCAAAAGGCUAGCCUCCAAGUCAGAAGGGGCAAUAGGAAAAGAAGGAAAUCGGUCUUCCCACAGCAUCAGUGCAUGGGGUACCAGGUUGGAGAAAAGCACACGAGUCAUGUGCUGUUACAGGUUACACCAGACCCUCAGCCAUCCUGUUAUUCUGUUCUGCUGUCAAAGCUGAACUUUAUCCUGCCAAUUUCUCACACCUUGGCACCUAACUGAUAAAUGCAGACUGGACAUCAAACACCUCCCAGCCUCCCAGCGCUGUGUCUGGUCCAUCUUUCCAGCUCAAAUUUAGAGCAGUGCAGGGGAGGGCAUAAUAUCCUCCUCUCAGGUGUUCAGUGGAAGAGGCUGGAGCUUCUUAAUAAUGCCCACAGCCCUCAUGCUCUCUCCCGAUGUCCUCAUGCUCUUUUCUGAUGCCUUCAUGCACCUUGUAUCCCUCUGCCUAUCCAUGUUCUUUUUCCUUCCAAUUCCACUCCGUCUUUCUGCCCUGAUGCUUUUUGAUCCAGAGGGGUUUUGGUAGAAUAUACUGAUCAAGGAAAUAAGGACUUAGUACAUAAAGAAUCUCAGAC